GGCGGAUGUAGCCAAGUGGAUCA
RNAcentral lists this transfer RNA (23 nucleotides) under Persea americana (avocado). Its description in RNAcentral is "partial tRNA-His". The record is from RNAcentral. Lineage: Eukaryota; Viridiplantae; Streptophyta; Magnoliopsida; Laurales; Lauraceae. RNAcentral also lists the same sequence under 52 other names.